GAUGAACGCUGGCGGCGUGCCUAAUACAUGCAAGUCGAGCGAACGGACGAGAAGCUUGCUUUUCUGAUGUUAGCGGCGGACGGGUGAGUAACACGUGGAUAACCUACCUAUAAGACUGGGAUAACUUCGGGAAACCGGAGCUAAUACCGGAUAAUAUUUUGAACCGCAUGGUUAAAAAGUGAAAGACGGUCUUGCUGUCACUUAUAGAUGGAUCCGCGCUGCAUUAGCUAGUUGGUAAGGUAACGGCUUACCAAGGCAACGAUGCAUAGCCGACCUGAGAGGGUGAUCGGCCACACUGGAACUGAGACACGGUCCAGACUCCUACGGGAGGCAGCAGUAGGGAAUCUUCCGCAAUGGGCGAAAGCCUGACGGAGCAACGCCGCGUGAGUGAUGAAGGUCUUCGGAUCGUAAAACUCUGUUAUUAGGGAAGAGCAUAUGUGUAAGUAACUGUGCACAUCUUGACGGUACCUAAUCAGAAAGCCACGGCUAACUACGUG
Molecule: ribosomal RNA, 497 nt
Filed under: uncultured bacterium
Lineage: Bacteria
Description: partial 16S ribosomal RNA
Rfam family: Bacterial small subunit ribosomal RNA
Source: RNAcentral